RNAcentral lists this ribosomal RNA (481 nucleotides) under uncultured bacterium. RNAcentral's name for it is "partial 16S ribosomal RNA". It matches the Rfam family "Bacterial small subunit ribosomal RNA", at positions 30 to 506 of the family's 1533-position model. The record is from RNAcentral.
AUUGUACGCUGGCGGCAUGCUUUACACAUGCAAGUCGAACGGUAACAGCACUUCGGUGGCUGACGAGUGGCGAACGGGUGAGUAAUACAUCGGAACGUGCCUAGUAGUGGGGGAUAACUACUCGAAAGAGUAGCUAAUACCGCAUGAGAUCUAAGGAUGAAAGCAGGGGACCUUCGGGCCUUGCGCUACUAGAGCGGCUGAUGGCAGAUUAGGUAGUUGGUGGGAUAAAAGCUUACCAAGCCGACGAUCUGUAGCUGGUCUGAGAGGACGACCAGCCACACUGGGACUGAGACACGGCCCAGACUCCUACGGGAGGCAGCAGUGGGGAAUUUUGGACAAUGGGCGCAAGCCUGAUCCAGCAAUGCCGCGUGCAGGAUGAAGGCCUUCGGGUUGUAAACUGCUUUUGUACGGAACGAAAAGCCCUCUUCUAAUACAGGAGGGUCAUGACGGUACCGUAAGAAUAAGCACCGGCUAACUACGU